RNAcentral lists this ribosomal RNA (468 nucleotides) under uncultured bacterium. Its description in RNAcentral is "partial 16S ribosomal RNA". It matches the Rfam family "Bacterial small subunit ribosomal RNA", at positions 28 to 507 of the family's 1533-position model. The record is from RNAcentral.
GACGAACGCUGGCGGCGUGCUUAACACAUGCCAGUCGAACGGUGAAGCUCCAGCUUGCUGGAGUGGAUCAGUGGCGAACGGGUGAGUAACACGUGAGCAACCUGCCCCUGACUCUGGAAUAAGCGCUGGAAACGGCGUCUAAUACUGGAUAUGAGAAGGGUCCGCAUGGACACUUUCUGGAAAGUUUUUCGGUUGGGGAUGGGCUCGCGGCCUAUCAGCUUGUUGGUGAGGUAAUGGCUCACCAAGGCGACGACGGGUAGCCGGCCUGAGAGGGCGACCGGCCACACUGGGACUGAGACACGGCCCAGACUCCUACGGGAGGCAGCAGUGGGGAAUAUUGCACAAUGGGCGAAAGCCUGAUGCAGCGACGCCGCGUGAGGGAUGACGGCCUUCGGGUUGUAAACCUCUUUCAGCAGGGAAGAAGCGAAAGUGACGGUACCUGCAGAAGAAGCACCGGCUAACUACGUG